GUUGAGUUGAGUUAAGUUGUAAAUGAGGGAUUUUUUUUUUCUAUGAAAAGAAAAGAUGCUAGUAUGCUACAAAUGAACUAAUUUUAUUAUUGGGCUAAUGAUCGUCCCCGAACUUUGUGGGCUUCUUUAAUUGUAUCAUGUGCUUUUAGUUUUAUUAGUUUAGUUCAUAAAUUACUGAUUUUAUUUCAUUUGUAUCCAAUGGGUCUGGUGCAUGUGUGCAUCCUUAUGUUUUGUUGAGA
Molecule: unclassified non-coding RNA, 239 nt
Filed under: Hevea brasiliensis (rubber tree)
Lineage: Eukaryota; Viridiplantae; Streptophyta; Magnoliopsida; Malpighiales; Euphorbiaceae
Source: RNAcentral